UACUACUCAUGAAGCUUUCCUUAUGUGCUAGUUAUUGAAUUAAGUUUGUUGUGGGUGCCUUCAGUCAAUUCUGACUCUAGCGACCCUAUGUACAGCAGACUGGAACCCUGCCUGAUCUUUUUGUGCCAUCCUCUCACCUUCCAUCACUGUAUCAGACAAGGCUCUGGUGCUAUUCAUAGGGUUCUAAUGACCAGUUCUUUUGGAAGUGGGUGGCCAGUGUUCUUCCUAGUCUAUCUCAUUCUAGAAGCUCUGCUGAAGCCUGUCCCCCAUGGGUGACCCUGCUGAUAUUUGAAACACUGGUGGCAUAGCUUUCAGCAUCACAGCAGCAUGCAGUCACCACAGUACGACAACCAAGAGGCAGGUGGUGUGGUUCCCUGACUGGGAAAGGAACCUGGCCUUAGCGGUAAGAGCACAGACUCAUAACCAAUAGAUUGAGCAAAGCACUUUUACUGUACUCUCAAAUUUAAUUUACAGCAAAUUCUUUUCUUUGUUUGUUUUCUGAGGAAGAUGCACCCUGAGCUAACAUCUGUUGCCAAUCUUCCUUUUUUCUUUUUAUGUGAGCUGCCAUCAUAGCAUGGCCGCUAACAGACAAGUGGUAUAGGUCUGUGCCUGGCACCCGAACCCGGGCUGCAAAAGCACAGUGCGUCAAACUUAACCGGUAGGCCACCAGGGCUGACCCUACAGAAAAUUCUGAUGAGAAGCACUGCACCCCAAUUUUACAGUUAAAAAAUGCAGCACUGAGAAAGUAAAUGACUUGUCCAAUUUUACAAUUUUUGCAGAAAUUCAAAUCUAGGUUUGUGUGGUCAUAAAGCAGAUCUUACAAUGUCCUCACCUCAAUUCCCUCUUAUUUUCAGGUAUUCUUUGAAGAAAAAUUCAAAUAAAAGUAAAAUAUAACAUUUUAAACAUAAAAUAGAGCUUUUCUUACAUUGUUCUCUGAGUAUUUAAAUAAUAAAUUAUCCUAAAUUAAAGUUUUCAGAAAGGGUUAUGAUAAACUUGAAAUAAUAAACAUUGCAAUAAAACUGUUUUAUGACAAUUAAUCUAGAUUUUGUGUGGCACUGGAACUUUAUUUUCUUCUAUAAAAUUUUUAUUUUUGUUUCUCCUUGGCAUUUUUUUCUAUUAAAAUCCAGAAAAUGUUGGGCUUCACGAAGUUAUUGGCGUCUUAAUUUGAUCAAAAGCAUUUUAUUUUUUAAUAUCAACUAUAUAGUUUUCAAAACAGGAUCUAAACAAAGUCAUUUUAGAAAUUUGUGAGGAAUAGAGACGCAGUACUAUGAUCUCUGAAAUUGGGCCACAAUUUUAAUUUUUCAAAGCACUUAGUUUUUAAAAUAAAAUAAAAUCACUUAGUUUUUAUUUUGGGUAAAAUAAAAGGCUCCAUAGAUAUUUCUACUCCUCAGGCAGGGGAGAAAAACACUAAUAAACUUUAUAAUAGUUAUAGCAAAAAUAUUAUUGUUUCUGUAACAAAUGAAUGGCUUCAUUUUCUCAAACUCUAAAUACAUUGUACGGCCAUCAGAAGUAACGUAAGAGAGUUAAAUGCAAAUAUCAUUUUAAAUAUAGCACUUAUUGAAAGGACUGUACUUACAGUGUGCCUUUUAUACCUAUAAAUCAAGGGAAACUAAAAUCUUCUUGACUAUCAUUAUAUUUUUAAUGUUAGUAGGAGAGGAACUGAUGUGAUUAACAUAUUCAGGCAAGGCCAAAUUGAACUUUAAAACUUCUGUUUUAUAUUUUUAUUCAAGUUUGUUCCAACCUUUAUAAACUGUCAGCAAAUGAGCAAAAUAAUGAAGAUCUGAGGAGUCACAGGGUGUUCUGCAGUGAGUAGAAUACUGACCUGGUGAUCCACACAGUUUCUCUCACUGACACUUCUACUGCGGGUAGGAUCCCAUCCAGUUAUGUAACACUCUCUGCCUGAUCUGUGCCUAAUGCACAAGCACACGUAAUAUACUCGUGGGGAGGAUACAGUAAAAAAAGAAGACUGAUGAUGCGUGAUAUAUAGGGGGAAAUUACAAGAAUCAAUGUUUUUGAAUUAGGACAAUAGAGCUUGAGCUCAAAUGGAGGGUUUGAUGAUGGAUUGAAGAGUGAAGACAUUGCGGCAGGUGAGAAGGCAGAUUCAUGGAUACAGAUACAGGUAGAAUUGCAGAGGUGAACUUUGAGGUUCUGAUUUACUUCUGUGAUUUUUAAAAAGCAGCCCAGGUGAUAUAGUGAAAAAUCAUUGUUGAGAACUAUUCUAGGGUCAGCCUAUGGGAGGAGAGCCUGAGAUUGGAAUUAGAGGAGAGUGUCAAGGAAUUGAAAAAACAAGCAUUGGCUGAACUAUUGCUAUCUCUAGAAGUUAAGAUAGGAUUUGUGGUAGGGAGGUAAACAGUGACCCCUGUGCUGGGAAGAGCUGCCAUUGUCGGAAGGCAAGAACUUCAAAGGUGCUAAAAUCCCCUCAACAGGCUUAGCUUCACUUCACAAUUUCAGUCCAAUCCUUGCCUCAGUCUAGGUGAUAAGUUUUGAAAUUGUCUUCACAUUACAAUAACUUAUGGAACAUUAAAAUAAUAAAAACAAAAAGCUAGUGCCGGGUCUCCCCUUGCUUGAGAUGCUAUUAAUUGAUCUGAUAUGGGGUUCAGUCUAGGUAUUUUUAAAAGAUCCCCAUGUGGUUCUAAAGUGCUGCAGGAUAGAAAACCCGGUUCUGGGUGAAGGAAAUAUAAAGCAUCAGAAGCACGUUAGUUAAAACAAAACGAAACAGAGAAAGAUUUUCGCUGGUUCUUCUGUCAUUUUCCGCAGUCACAUGCCCACCCUAGUAAUCAGAAAAUAAAGCAUCUAUGACCCCUCUCUCCUUCCUUGAAUUUCUCGCCUCUUGCCCUCUUCCUCCACCCCUCCUGCUCCUUUUACUGGAUGCUAUUGCCAACCCCCACUGCAGAGCACAUUGUGAAUAACUUUUAGAUUAUUGUGAAGCAUUCUCGUACCCACGUUUUUGCCUCCCCCCACCUCCUUCCUUCCUUUUUUUCUUCCUUCGUUCUAUGGGCUUCAGGAAAAUGCCUCAGUUUAAGAUAUACUUUAAUUCAAAUUUUCAGGAACACUAAAUUAGACUGCAAAGCUCUGAACAUGUGCUCUUUUUCAAUACUUCUGUCCCUUUUUGGACUAAAAGCAUAUAUCACCCAGCACUCUGAGCCUAAUUCUUCUGUCUGGACCUCCUCACUGCAUCCUGAGCACUUGACUUGGCGUACAGCUCUCUAAUUCAACCUGAAGAAAUCAAAUUGGCUUACACUUACAUAUAUGUCACAUUUUUCAAGCAUUCAUUUUAAAAAUAAAUUUAUUCUACUUAAGUGUAUUUUGUUUGACACAAAGCUUUGAUUAUUGUAUUUGAAUAAGGAUCACACCCUCAAAUAUUAAAAGAAAAUUUUCAUUGAAAACCUCUUUUAAAAUAUUUAACACUAAAAAAUUUGCUUCUUUUCAUGGUGCAGUUACCACAGUGAAAAUGUGUGAAAACUCAUCAUUUUAGUUACUGUUUGAGUUUGCAAUACCUCCUUGUCCAGUUUGAUGAAAUGAGUAUUUCAUGGAGAAUCCACAGCAAGAACGAUAAAAAUGUCCUUACCCUUCCCACAGAAGCUAACAUCAAGAAGAGUUUUCAAAUAUUCCCUCUAUGCCAUGGAAACACCUAGAGCAAGAUCACUCAAGCUGUGCUGUUUAUCUAUUUUCACUAGGGCUUUCAUUUGAUCAGAGAAAGGGGAGGAAGGCUGUGGCAUAUCACUGGCCCACAUUCCCACCUCUAACCAGAGAACCAGAGCUAGUGCAGGGCCACGUGACAUUUAUUGAAUCUACACUUAACAUUUUGUUCUUGAGUAAAGAGUUUGGCUAUUACAAAAUUUUUCUUUUAAAAGUAGAAAAUCACUAACUAGAGGCAGAUAAGAUAACAAAUUGUGAAGAGUCUGCUGAGUACAUUGAUUAUAGACCUGUGUGUAUGUUUGUGUGUGUGUGUGUGUGUGUGUAGUCCUAAGUUAUUAAGAUUUUGUCAUGAAUUCUAGGAACAUUUCGGGCUCCACACAGCAUAGGCGUUGGUCAUCACCCUCCUUACAAAUUAUACACUUAUAAAUUGUUCUCUCUGUUUAUCCUGAGGAAAAGCAGAAGGAUGAGCCUAUCCAUGAAGGGAAGACAGGAAAAAAGAUCGAAUGCUUUAAUCACAGUGUUAUCUUGGGGAAUUGCUCCAGUUUCUUAGGAGGUUUCUGGAUGGGAAUGAACAACUGGGCUAUGGAGGUAGACAACUCAGUUGCUGACCAGCCACCUCACAAAGCAUCAUUAUCAACAAUGUGAUUGUCAUGCUUCAGUUUAAUGAGCUGAAGAAAUAUAUGGCUCAUGCCAGUGCAUUGAAGAGUAUUAAUACCAUACUGAGAGAUGUAAAAGACUGACGUAUCCAUUCUCGAUAAAGGAGGAGUCCCACUCCAGCAGGAGCAGCAAUCCCAGGAUGUCAACUCACUUCAUGGUUUGGGGUCACCAAGAAAGGUAAAAGUCACCAGGAACUGGUGAUGGAACAGUGCUUUACUCACACUGGGAAGAGACAGAGUGAGAUCAGCUUGUACAAUGAGCCUGGGUCCCCAGUGGCCAGCAGGUCUUGCCCCACUGCCAACACAGUGUGAUGGUCUGCAAGCAGCCCCCCUCCUGCUGCAAGCAAAGGAUCCCAUCCUUCCCUGGUGGGGUUGACAUACCGAAGGCUGGGACUGUGCCUGAGAGCUAUCUGAAGCACAAGCUUAAGCAAGACAAAGAAGCACAUCAAGCCUGGAAUAGGGAAAGAGACUCUCAAGCAAGGCCCUAUGUCUAGCAAAUGCUGUGAGGGCUCACCAUCUCUUUUGCAAGGAAAUGUUCCAGGCCCAUUACAGGGCCAUGCAAAGGUCAAAAGACUGCACACACAAGACUGCCUUUUUCAGCAAUUUGCAAUCCAAAAAUAUUUAUAAACAUGAUGUGUAUAACAAAAGAGUACUAAUUCAAAAAUAGUUAAUAAUUUUCUUAAAAUAUUUUGCAUUUCUCCUUUUCUUUAAAGCACCUGGUUUGGGUUAUUAUAAAUCAUAUUUAUUUAAACUACAUUAUUUGCUUUAUUAGUUAAAAGAUUCAGCAUACUAUUAAUUCAGUGCUGAUGAAAUCUACAUUUUCUUUUACAAUAUUAUUGUCUAUAUUCAUUAUACUGUGCAUUAGAUCUCUAUGGCUGAUUUACUACUCAUUUCAAGUUUGUACACUUAAAUACCAUCAGUCUUAUCCCCCCUUCCCUGGGUAGGCCACCCUUUUACUCUAUUUUUUAGAGGUUUAACCUUUUUUAGAUUCCUCAUAUAAGUGAUAUCCUACAGUACUUGUCUUUCUGUGACUGACAUCUUGCUUAGCUUGGUGUGCUUAAAGUUUAUACAAGCUGUGGCAAAUGGAAGGAUAUCCUCCUUUCUUAUGGCUGAACAAUAUUCCAUUGUGUAUGUGUACCACUUCUUUUUUAUCUAUUCAUCCAUGAUGGGCAUUUGGGUUGUUUCCAUAUCUUAGCUAUUGUGAACAGUGCUGCGAUAAACGUGAGCAUGCAUAUAUCUCAUCAAAAUGCUGUUUUCAUUUCCUUUGGGUAUAUAGCCAGAAGUGGAAUUGCUGGAUUAUAUGGUAGAUCUAUUUUUAACUUUUUGAAGACCUUCCAUUAUGUUUGUCAUCGUAGUUGGACCAAUACACAUUCCCAAGACCUAUGUAUAAGGGUUCCCUUUUCACCACAUCCUUGCCAGCACCUGUUGUCUCUUGUCUUCUUGAUGAUAGCCAUUCUAAUAGGUGUGAGGUGAUGUCUCACUGUGGUUUUGAUUUGCAUUUCCUUGAUGACUGGUGAUGUUGAACAUCUUUUCAUGUGUCUGUUGGCCACUUUUAUUUUUGAAAAAUGUCUAUUUUGAUCUUUUGCCCAUUUUUAAAAAUCAAAUUUUCUGAGUGUUUUUUGUUAUUAAGUUGACUGAGUUCUUUGCAUAUUUUGGAUAUUAAUCCUUAUUAAAUAUAUGGCUUGAAAAAAUUUUCUUCCAUUCUGUAGGUUGUCUUCUCAUUUUGUUGAUUGUUUCUUUUGCUUUGUGGAUGCCUUUGAGUUUGAUGUAGUCCCAUUUGUUGAUUUUUGCUUUUGUUGUUUGUCCUUUUGGUGUUGUGUUUAAAAACUUAUUGCCAAGACCAAUAUCACUGAGUUGCUUCCCUGCAUUUUCUUCUAGGAGUUUUAUGAUAUCAGGCCUCAUAUUUAAGUCUUUGAUCCAUUUCAAAUUAACCUUUGUGAGUGGUGUGAGAUAGGGGUCUAAUUUCAUUGUUCAGCAUGUGUUUCUUCAGUUUCCCCAGCACCUUUUAUUGGAGACUAUCCUUUCCCCAUUGGGUAUUCUUGGCUCUCCUGUUGAAUAUUAGUUUUCUGGAUAUACUGGGAUUUAGUUUUGGGUCAUCUAUUCUGUUCCAUUGGUCUAUAUGUCUGUUUUUGUGCCAGUACUACACUGGUUUUAUUAACAUGGCUUUGUAGGAUGGUUUGAAAUCCAAAAGUGUGAUCCUCUGGCCUUGUUCCUUUUUCUCAGGAUUCUUCGGCCAUUUAGGGUCUUUCGUGGUACCAUGCAAAUUUCAUGAUUGUUUCCUCUAUUUUCGUGAAGAAUGCCUUUGGUAUUUUGAUGAGGACUGCAUUGAAUCUGUAGAUGGCUUUGAAUAGUAUGGCCAUUUUAACAGUAUUAAUUCUUCCAACCCAUGGACAUGGGAUGUCUUUUCAUUUGUUUGUGUCUUCUUCAAUUUCUUUCAGCAGAGUCUUGUAGUUUCAUUGUACGAAUCUUUCAUUUCCUUGGUUAAAUUUAUUCCCAAAUAUUUUAUUGUUUUUGAUGCUAUUGUGAAUGGGAUAGUUUUCUUUAUUUCGUUUUCAGAUGCUUAAUCAUAAAUGUAAAGGAAUGCAAUUGAUUUGUGUAUGUUGAUUUUGUAUGUUGCCAUUCUACCAAAAUUGUUAAUUAAUUACAACCAUUUUGGGGCUGAGUUUUGAGGGUUUUCUAUAUAUAAGAUCAUAUCAUCAGCAAACAGUGACAAUUUUACUUCUUCCUUUCUGAUUUGGAUGCCUUUUAUUUCUUUGUCUUGCCUAAUUGCUCUAGGUAGGACUUCCUGUACUAUAUUGAAUGUGAGUGGUGAGAAUGGAGAUCCUUGUAUUGUUUCUUAGAGGAAAUAAUUUCAUUUUUUCUCCACUGAGUAUAAUGUUAGCUGCAGGUUUGUUGUAUAUGGUCUUUAUUAUGUUGAGGUAUGUCCCUUCUAUACCUGAUCUGUUAAAGGCCUUUCUCAUGAAAGGAUGUUGUAUUUUGUCAAAUGCUUUUUCUAUGUCUAUUGCGAUGAUCAUGUGAUUUCUAUCUUUCAUUUCAUUGAUGUGCUGUAUUACAUUUACUGGAAAUAUGCAUUUUGAUAUAUUAAUGUUUUAUCAUUUAAUACAAUUUGUAAGCAAUUGCAUAGACAUUUACAAUCCCAAAUGUUUGUAAAAUAAAUAUAUAAUAUAAAAUUAAAUUAUAUAUUAUGUACAGUAUAAAAUAUAUAUAUUUUGUGUGUCUGUGUGUCUGUGUGUCUGUGUACACUUCAUACUCAUUGUCAACUUUGUCUUAAUCAUACCAUCUAAUUGGUUAGGUGGGGAGAAUCCUUAUGUAAGAGAAUAAGCUGAUGUUACUAACUUAUAUGUAUUUAUGCCUUCUGAGAUCGUAUAAAAAAUAGCACAUAUA
Molecule: non-coding RNA, 7679 nt
Organism: Equus caballus (horse)
Lineage: Eukaryota; Metazoa; Chordata; Mammalia; Perissodactyla; Equidae
Source: RefSeq, a predicted model, not a curated record